UACCCGUAAUUGCCAUGACUGUU
RNAcentral lists this microRNA (23 nucleotides) under Ascaris suum (pig roundworm). RNAcentral's name for it is "asu-miR-5358a-3p". Lineage: Eukaryota; Metazoa; Nematoda; Chromadorea; Rhabditida; Ascarididae. The record is from miRBase by way of RNAcentral.